RNAcentral lists this small RNA (132 nucleotides) under Escherichia coli. RNAcentral describes it as "RtT sRNA". It matches the Rfam family "RtT RNA". From Rfam's summary of the family: This family represents a bacterial cis-regulatory element known as RtT RNA. The exact function of RtT is unknown although it is thought that it may be involved in changing the cellular response in relation to amino acid starvation. The record is from RNAcentral. Lineage: Bacteria; Pseudomonadati; Pseudomonadota; Gammaproteobacteria; Enterobacterales; Enterobacteriaceae. RNAcentral also lists the same sequence under 1 other name.
AUUCUGCCCAUGCGGGGAAGGAUGAGAAGCUUCGACUAAGGUUCGACUCGAGCGUCAGCGAGAGAGCGUUGCCGCAGGCAACGACCCGAAGGGCGAAGCGCGCAGCGCUGAGUAAUCCUUCCCCCACCACCA